AUUGAACGCUGGCGGCAUGCCUUACACAUGCAAGUCGAACGGCAGCACGGGGGCAACCCUGGUGGCGAGUGGCGAACGGGUGAGUAAUACAUCGGAACGUGCCCCGUAGCGGGGGACGAACCAGUCGAAAGACUGGCUAAUACCGCAUACGCUCCACGGAGGAAAGCAGGGGAUCGCAAGACCUUGCACUAUGGGAGCGGCCGAUG
This 206-nucleotide ribosomal RNA is filed under the name uncultured bacterium. RNAcentral describes it as "partial 16S ribosomal RNA". It matches the Rfam family "Bacterial small subunit ribosomal RNA", at positions 30 to 235 of the family's 1533-position model. The record is from RNAcentral.